This 207-nucleotide ribosomal RNA is filed under the name Methanomicrobiales archaeon. RNAcentral describes it as "partial 23S ribosomal RNA". It matches the Rfam family "Archaeal large subunit ribosomal RNA", at positions 2778 to 2987 of the family's 2987-position model. Lineage: Archaea; Methanobacteriati; Methanobacteriota; Methanomicrobia; Methanomicrobiales. The record is from RNAcentral.
UCUAGUGUAUCGGUUGUCCGACAGGGCAUUGCCGAGCAGCCACGCGAUAAGGGAUAAAAGCUGAAAGCAUCUAAGCUUGAAACCCGACCUGAAAAGAGACUCCGUUGAGGGCACCGGUAAAAGACCGGUUUGAUAGGCUCGGGAUGUACGCACGAAGGUAACGACGUGCUCAGUCCGUCGAGUACUAACGCCCAAUCGCCGGAUAUG